AGGCGGCGUAAGCUGUCGCUAUGGGAUGGCCCCGCGGUGCAUUAGCUAGUUGGUAAGGUAACGGCUUACCAAGGCGAUGAUGCAUAGCCGAGUUGAGAGACUGAUCGGCCACAUUGGGACUGAGACACGGCCCAAACUCCUACGGGAGGCAGCAGUAGGGAAUCUUCCACAAUGGACGCAAGUCUGAUGGAGCAACGCCGCGUGAGUGAAGAAGGUUUUCGGAUCGUAAAGCUCUGUUGUUGGUGAAGAAGGAUAGAGGUAGUANCUGNCCUUUAUU
RNAcentral lists this ribosomal RNA (277 nucleotides) under uncultured bacterium. Its description in RNAcentral is "partial 16S ribosomal RNA". It matches the Rfam family "Bacterial small subunit ribosomal RNA", at positions 202 to 476 of the family's 1533-position model. The record is from RNAcentral.